UACGGGGGGAGCAAGCGUUGUUCGGAAUCACUGGGCGUAAAGGGAGUCUAGGCGGUUUGGUAAGUGGGAUGUGAAAUGCCCGGGCUCACCCCGGGACCUGCAUCCCAAACUGCUGAGCUUGAGUACAGGAGAGGGUGGGGGAAUCCCAGGUGUAGCGGUGAAAUGCGUAGAUAUCUGGAGGAACACCGGUGGCGAAGGCGCCCACCUGGCCUGCUACUGACGCUGAAGCUCGAAAGCUAGGGGAGCAAACGGG
RNAcentral lists this ribosomal RNA (253 nucleotides) under uncultured bacterium. RNAcentral describes it as "partial 16S ribosomal RNA". It matches the Rfam family "Bacterial small subunit ribosomal RNA", at positions 524 to 776 of the family's 1533-position model. The record is from RNAcentral.